This is a long non-coding RNA of Leptidea sinapis, 343 nucleotides long. RefSeq lists it as uncharacterized. The transcript is spliced from 2 exons. NCBI's taxonomy places the organism in Eukaryota, Metazoa, Arthropoda, Insecta, Lepidoptera, Pieridae. The record is from RefSeq and is a predicted model, not a curated record.
CCGCGGCUGGUUUGAACGCGUUCGUAACACUCUCUGACCAAGAGUGGUCGAGUUUAUUGGAAAUAUAAACUAGAUCUGUGGGAGAUAAGCUGCGGGGAAAAUAGCUACAAUCUGUCGGGUUAAAACAGCAUGCUUUAUUGGCGAUACAUUAGGAGUAUACAAAAUCAGAUAUAAGAUUUACAAGUCCCGAAGAGGCGAUAAAUCCAUUCCAAGAGGCUAUUCAAGACAUUCCUCAGGAGGAUUGGCAGAACUGCUAAAUACAAUGGUUCCAAAUGAAUGAAAAACUGUGUUAAGAAUGAACGAAUAUACUUUGAGAAACAAUAAUAAAUAUAUAAAAACAUAA